This is a non-coding RNA of Caerostris darwini, 108 nucleotides long. Lineage: Eukaryota; Metazoa; Arthropoda; Arachnida; Araneae; Araneidae. The record is from the annotation of a GenBank genome assembly.
GCCGUACCAUGCUGAAUAUACCGGUUCUCGUUAGAUCACCGAAGUCAAGCAUCAUUGGGCGCGGUCAGUACUUGGGUGGGUGACCACCUGGGAACACUGCGUGCCGUU